This 63-nucleotide transfer RNA is filed under the name Leptodora kindtii. RNAcentral's name for it is "tRNA-Arg". The record is from RNAcentral. Lineage: Eukaryota; Metazoa; Arthropoda; Branchiopoda; Diplostraca; Leptodoridae.
AAGCUUGAAGUAACAAUUUACAUUUAGUUUCGACCUAAAAAUCGACUACUUAGUCCUAGCUUA